This 76-nucleotide transfer RNA is filed under the name Acidimicrobiales bacterium. RNAcentral describes it as "tRNA-Lys". It matches the Rfam family "tRNA". From Rfam's summary of the family: Transfer RNA (tRNA) molecules are approximately 80 nucleotides in length. Their secondary structure includes four short double-helical elements and three loops (D, anti-codon, and T loops). Further hydrogen bonds mediate the characteristic L-shaped molecular structure. tRNAs have two regions of fundamental functional importance: the anti-codon, which is responsible for specific mRNA codon recognition, and the 3' end, to which the tRNAs corresponding amino acid is attached (by aminoacyl-tRNA synthetases). tRNAs cope with the degeneracy of the genetic code in two manners: having more than one tRNA (with a specific anti-codon) for a particular amino acid; and 'wobble' base-pairing, i.e. permitting non-standard base-pairing at the 3rd anti-codon position. The record is from RNAcentral. Lineage: Bacteria; Bacillati; Actinomycetota; Acidimicrobiia; Acidimicrobiales.
GGGGGUGUAGCUCAGUGGUCAGAGCGUCGGGCUUUUAACCCGAGCGUCGAGGGUUCGAUCCCCUCCACCCCUACCA